GUCAGUGAGCAGCUACAGCCUUUCUGCAAUUGUUCUUAUUUAUAUAAUCUGUCCAUGUAGGAGCUGAGUCGUAGCUGAAGAUCCUUUGAGUCUGUACUGUGCAAACCUGAAAAAAAAACAACAGAUUCCACCUUAUGGAGUGCAAGAUGCUGGAAGCACAGUAGCUUUGAAUUUCUUCAGUUCAGCUAAAGGUAGGUACUAGAAGACAACAAACAUCUCCUUAGCUUUCUCACCCCCAGUCUGAACAUCCCCAGUGCUUUCAGCAUCUCUGCAUGCAGCAUGUGCUUCAGCACCCAAUCAUGCUGAUGGCCUUUGGCUGGGCUCUCCCCAGGAUGUCAGCAAACCAUGUUGCAUCUUAUUGGUGCCAUCAGCUAUGAGUGAGGACAUUUACUGUGGCUCAAGUGAC
This is a long non-coding RNA of Cygnus olor (mute swan), 406 nucleotides long. RefSeq lists it as uncharacterized. NCBI's taxonomy places the organism in Eukaryota, Metazoa, Chordata, Aves, Anseriformes, Anatidae. The transcript has 3 exons. The record is from RefSeq and is a predicted model, not a curated record.